UUUUAUAUCAUCAUUGAUUAAUCGAUCCAAUUCAAAGUUCAAACUAAGAAUUCCAGUCUAUCUCUCAUUUUCCUUUGUAUCUCCAACUCUUCUCUUGUUAUAUAACCAAACAACGAUAACUUUCUUCUUUGCUUUUUCACUUAGUUAGUAUCCUACUCUGAGGUUGCUCAAUAUAGUAACAUAAAUAAUGGAGUUGUAGCUUAACCAUGUUCAAGUAUCAUGCACAAAACACCAGAACUAUCCCGAAAUACCUAAAUAUUUAGCAAAUACUAUAAAAGCAGACUAAAAUUUAAAAAUGAAAUCGUUAAUCAAAUUAAAUAAGCAAAUUUUAGUUUAACUGACCUCUGACUUGGAUCAUCAUCGGCGGAUUGAUGUACGGCCCGAGAACGACCCAUUUCCUAAUUGGGGCUCCGGAUUUGAAAAAAAGAGCUCCAAUUGACUUGCUUGUAGAACUAACAGUGAAGAUCUGGUAUCUCACAAGUCCGGCUAUCGGAAAAAUAAGUGCGAUUUGGGGAAUAAAGUAUGUCGAUGUACACUAAAAGUUUAAAAUUAAAUUCAAAUAUUUAAACUAAAAGUAUUGGAGUAAUACUUAUUUAAUGUUUAUAUA
Molecule: long non-coding RNA, 607 nt
Filed under: Nicotiana benthamiana
Lineage: Eukaryota; Viridiplantae; Streptophyta; Magnoliopsida; Solanales; Solanaceae
Description: long non-coding RNA (NBEN_LNC002612)
Source: RNAcentral